GUUCAUGUAGCUUAUAAUACUAAAGCAAGGCACUGAAAAUGCCUAGAUGAGUUUUCGAACUCCAUAAACA
This 70-nucleotide transfer RNA is filed under the name Ochotona curzoniae (black-lipped pika). RNAcentral's name for it is "tRNA-Phe". It matches the Rfam family "tRNA". From Rfam's summary of the family: Transfer RNA (tRNA) molecules are approximately 80 nucleotides in length. Their secondary structure includes four short double-helical elements and three loops (D, anti-codon, and T loops). Lineage: Eukaryota; Metazoa; Chordata; Mammalia; Lagomorpha; Ochotonidae. The record is from RNAcentral.